This 98-nucleotide ribosomal RNA is filed under the name Nannospalax galili (Upper Galilee mountains blind mole rat). The record is from RNAcentral. Lineage: Eukaryota; Metazoa; Chordata; Mammalia; Rodentia; Spalacidae.
AGGCUUGGCCAUACCACCCUGAACACACCCAAUCUCAUCUGAUCUCGGAAGCUAAGCAGGGUCGGGCCUGCUUAGUACUUGGAUGGGAGACAAAAUUU